Molecule: long non-coding RNA, 831 nt
Filed under: Sus scrofa (pig)
Lineage: Eukaryota; Metazoa; Chordata; Mammalia; Artiodactyla; Suidae
Description: lncRNA (ENSSSCG00025037860.1)
Source: RNAcentral
CCCGUCUCCAUGGGAACGAUCUGAGUGUCUUCUCCGCGUCCUGGGGCGUCGGUUUCGGUCCAGCCCGGCUGCGGCCCUUGUUUGCUGGGACAGUCCUUGGGCCGGUCUCCGUCCCUGUCCAGAGGCUCCGUACGUGAGGCGGACUCUCGGGAGCACCGAGCCGGGCGCGGAUAAGGGCGAGGACAGCUGUUGCAGGAACGGGGGCAGAAAAGGAGGACCAGGGGCCGAGAAGUCGCUCUGGCUACGAAAUUUCAGACACCGUUGUAAAUGGGUGCUUCACAGCCGCCCGCCCCACGUUAAAACUGAAGAAGAGGUGCAAGGAGGCGGAAGCAGCUUGGGCCUCGGGACCGAGGGUCCUGUGAUCAGCAAGGGAGGACCAGAGAGGCUCAUGCCUCCGUUUUACAGCUCAGCCUUCUCGACCCUCCACCCUUCCCCAAAAAAGGAGCACAAAGGAGCAAGCAGGGGUCACGCCUUUCCUCACAGUCUGACCCGGUUACGUGAGGCAGCCCGAGGUAACCAGAUCCACGUCUACGAAGAGGAGAAAUAGAACCUACCGUGGCGGGUUGUUAAGAAGAUUCGCUAAGUUCAUUCAUUUGAAAAACUCAUCACAGAGCUUGACAAACAGGCCUAACCAUUGGCUGCGAUUAUGUUAUCAUCACAGGGAGCAAGAACCUUGGCCGCCGUCUCGGUUUCCCGAAUACUUACUGGUCUCUAGUUUUAUGUGACUUUUAAGAUCUGUGUGGGCAUUUUUUAUAUUGGCAUUUGUACUUCACUAGGAAUUUGUCCUUUUAUGUAGAGGUUCACGUGUAUUUGCAUAUAGUUCAUAAUACC